GUCGGCUCGACCACGAUGGAAGGAAGCCUCUUGGACAACUUUGGAAUCCUUUCAUGGGUAUCUGGGAACAUCUGUUUAAAGCUCAUGACUGGUUUGAAAUAAUCGAAACACACACAUUCACACAAAUAUUUCCAGACACACCUGGAAGGAUACCGUGCCCUGAUCUGCAGCUGCUCCACCCCCGCUGAAGUCCUCCGUUCCUGGUUCCAGGGAGUUCAUCACCUCAGUCAUCCUGGAGGAAAAAACAUGGUGAUGAUCACCAAUCAAUAAACUGUAUGCACUGUGUUUCUCUACACAA
Molecule: long non-coding RNA, 298 nt
Organism: Micropterus salmoides (largemouth bass)
Lineage: Eukaryota; Metazoa; Chordata; Actinopteri; Centrarchiformes; Centrarchidae
Exons: 2
Source: RefSeq, a predicted model, not a curated record